UGUCGAUGCCUUUCGGGGCAUUUCCUCCCUAGUCUUUGGCCGCGCUCGUAACCAUCGGGUGCGGUUCUUUUUAUCUACC
This 79-nucleotide small RNA is filed under the name Brucella daejeonensis. RNAcentral's name for it is "Ochrobactrum daejeonense suhB". It matches the Rfam family "Makes More Granules Regulator RNA (mmgR)". Rfam says of the family: SuhB later renamed mmgR (makes more granules regulator) was a putative non-coding RNA found multiple times in the Agrobacterium tumefaciens genome and related alpha-proteobacteria. The record is from RNAcentral. Lineage: Bacteria; Pseudomonadati; Pseudomonadota; Alphaproteobacteria; Hyphomicrobiales; Brucellaceae.